CGACCGGCGCACGGGUGAGUAACACGUAUCCAACCUGCCGAUAACUCGGGGAUAGCCUUUCGAAAGAAAGAUUAAUAUCCGAUAGGAUAUCAAGGUCGCAUGAUCUUGAUAUUAAAGAAUUUCGGUUAUCGAUGGGGAUGCGUUCCAUCAGUUAGUUGGCGGGGUAACGGCCCACCAAGACGACGAUGGAUAGGGGUUCUGAGAGGAAGGUCCCCCACAUUGGAACUGAGACACGGUCCAAACUCCUACGGGAGGCAGCAG
This 261-nucleotide ribosomal RNA is filed under the name uncultured bacterium. RNAcentral describes it as "partial 16S ribosomal RNA". It matches the Rfam family "Bacterial small subunit ribosomal RNA", at positions 92 to 354 of the family's 1533-position model. The record is from RNAcentral.